RNAcentral lists this small nucleolar RNA (132 nucleotides) under Castor canadensis (American beaver). RNAcentral's name for it is "Small nucleolar RNA SNORA68 (ENSCCNG00000006318.1)". It matches the Rfam family "Small nucleolar RNA SNORA68". Rfam says of the family: U68 is a member of the H/ACA class of small nucleolar RNAs (snoRNAs) which act as guides in the the modification of uridines to pseudouridines. Lineage: Eukaryota; Metazoa; Chordata; Mammalia; Rodentia; Castoridae. The record is from Rfam by way of RNAcentral.
CUUGCACCCCAACCCAAGAACCAGUGCUUCUGGUAGCAUUGGUUUAAACAGAGGUGCACACAGCAAGUGGACACUGUCACCUUUGGGAGCUGUGGCUGUGCCCCUCAAAGUGAAUGUGGAGGUUCCACAUCC